Molecule: long non-coding RNA, 1736 nt
Filed under: Androctonus crassicauda
Lineage: Eukaryota; Metazoa; Arthropoda; Arachnida; Scorpiones; Buthidae
Source: RNAcentral
AACCAGUUUCAGUUAGACUAAAGUCUAAACUAAAACUGUUGUUCCUAUUCUUACCGCAAUUCUAGACUCGGUUUCCGAGUUCAGAGUAAGAUUAUGACCUGUCUCAGUGAUAAAACACACGACAUAAAUGAAGAUAGAUUUAUUGUCAAUAAAUAGGUCAUCUGUAAGGUCAGGCAUAAUCUUCCAAAAUAACUGUGCAUUCGAAUUGGGCUCUGAACCCUUCAAAUUUAAUGCAGGAAAAUAAAUGGUCCACAGUUUGUGAUGAGAUCCCAUCGCAGUCGCAACCACUUAUUCUCAAUAAUUAACUACUUACAUUCAAUUAAAUUUGCGCAAGUAAUGACGGAAAUUGCCAUUCCUUGUUAACAUUUAAAUUAAUAAGAUAUUGCUGAAAGUGCGAUUGCCAAGGUAUCUUCUCUCAAUGGAAGGAAUAUAGUUAUAGGUGGUCCUAUCAGUGAUAUCAUCAUCCAUUCCGUUUGCCACAUCUCAGUAAUUAUUUUCUUGAUCUUUUUGAUGUACUGAUGAGGAUUUUAAAGAGAGAUGUCCUAACUUCCACUGAGGCAAUAACUUUAGCUAAUUUAUCCACUCAUAUUACCCUGAAUGUCUGUAUGAUCUUUAAUCCAAUGGAAGCUAAUUUUGAGUUUGUGUUCAUUAUUCGUUACGAUCGAAUUCUUUGCUCCUAUGUUUCCAUUCAUGAAUAAGCCGUCCUUCUGUCAGUAAGGAUAAUGUAGUGAUUAUAUUUCAAAUGUUUCUUAGUGAUUUCAAAUACAUGCUCUUAAAAAUGGCAUAAAAAUCAUGGGUCAUUGUCCAAAUAGCUUUCCAAUUUAUAAUAUCCUUGGAAGAUAUGACCAUUUGAAUUCAUGAAGACAAUACCUGACUCAACAUUAUUACUUUAUUUACAGCCAUUUAAAUGUACAAGUUAUUUGGUUUAUUUUUUCGGAUGCCUGCUCCAAUUAUUCAGGUCCAUUAUCAUCAGAGUGAAACUUAUCAAACCCAUUCUUAUUGAUUUCCAAGCAACUUGCCAGGUAAUGUUUCCGAUGGAUUCGGAUUAUCUUGAGGUGAUUGGAUUUUAUAAACAGGACAGCUACAACAAACGCUCUUACAAGAGCCUUAGUCAUUCCCAUUGCUGACGUAAGAAGCUUUCUCUUGUUACCGGCACUUCUCCAGAUUUCUGCCCCAUAUGUACAAGUUCCGCAGUCAUUUUGUAUAUGAUUUCCAUGGAUUUCGAACUAAGAUUCCAAUUCUUGUUAGAUGUGAACCACUGCAGACCAUGAGUAACGUUAACAGCUUUAUCAUAACAUUAAUGUGAAGAAUCCAGCUGAACAAUUAAGAACAGUUCCCAGAUAGGGCAAUUUCUUAACGCUUGGGAUACGCCGUCCUUGAUUUUAGUGUCUUUCUUUUGAAUGAAUCAUUCUUUCCCACUACGAGCCCAGCAGAUUUGUCAAUGUUAAUACCAAUUUUGCUUUUCUUACAUCAUUCCACGAUUUUUCCAAUGAUUUCAUUAAUAAUAAUUUCUAGAUUGUCUCUAUUGUUAAUCACUAGAAUAGUUUCGUCAGCAAAUCCUUGCAAAAGUGGAUUUUUCUAUAGUGCACCAGCAACUAUGUCCAAUCUGGAGAUCGGUUUCAGACUUAUUGAUGUGAACACGUUGUAAAAUGAUCGGACUGAGAGUGAAGCGCGAUCGAACCGUGAGCGGCUCGAUAGUGUGGCUCGGAUCUGAAGGACUACAAAAAUGGUUGGAC